RNAcentral lists this long non-coding RNA (465 nucleotides) under Citrus x clementina. Its description in RNAcentral is "Citrus clementina (C. clementina) long non-coding RNA (CCLE_LNC001649)". The record is from RNAcentral. Lineage: Eukaryota; Viridiplantae; Streptophyta; Magnoliopsida; Sapindales; Rutaceae.
GGAAAAAAGGCCAAGAAACGCGUGGGCUAUAGCAUUGGUGGGGGGCGUGGGCGAAGUUCGUCCGCGGGACUCGGAAUGGCCCCAGACUUGGCGGUCGGCCUCCGUGUGCCAAAAAUAGGCCACGGGCAUAGCCGCGCCCAAAAAUCAGCCCCCGAAGGUCGGGGUCACAAGACCCCCCAGCGGAAAAAAGGCCAAAAAACGCAUGGGCUAUAGCCUUGGUGGGGGGCGUGGGCGAAGUUCGUCCGCGGGACUCGGAAUGGCCCCAGACUUGGCGGGCGGCCUCCGUGUGCCAAAAAUAGGCCACGGGCACAGCCGCGCCCAAAAAUCAGCCCCCGAAGGUCGGGGUCCCAAGACCCCCCAGCGGAAAAAUGGCCAAAAAACGGGUGGGCUAUAGCCUUGGUGGGGGGCGUGGGCGAAGUUCGUCCGCGGGACUCGGAAUGGCCCCAGACUUGGCGGGCGGCCUCC